GAUGAACGCUGGCGGCGUGCCUAACACAUGCAAGUCGAACGAAGCACCUUACCUGAUUCUUCGGAUGAAAGUUUGGUGACUGAGUGGCGGACGGGUGAGUAACGCGUGGGUAACCUGCCCUGUACAGGGGGAUAACAGCUGGAAACGGCUGCUAAUACCGCAUAAGCGCACGAGGAGACAUCUCCUUGUGUGAAAAACUCCGGUGGUACAGGAUGGGCCCGCGUCUGAUUAGCUGGUUGGCAGGGUAACGGCCUACCAAGGCAACGAUCAGUAGCCGGUCUGAGAGGAUGAACGGCCACAUUGGAACUGAGACACGGUCCAAACUCCUACGGGAGGCAGCAGUGGGGAAUAUUGCACAAUGGGGGAAACCCUGAUGCAGCAACGCCGCGUGAGUGAAGAAGUAUUUCGGUAUGUAAAGCUCUAUCAGCAGGGAAGAUAAUGACGGUACCUGACUAAGAAGCUCCGGCUAAAUACGUA
RNAcentral lists this ribosomal RNA (477 nucleotides) under uncultured bacterium. RNAcentral describes it as "partial 16S ribosomal RNA". It matches the Rfam family "Bacterial small subunit ribosomal RNA", at positions 28 to 507 of the family's 1533-position model. The record is from RNAcentral.